AACGCGAAGAACCUUACCAAGGCUUGACAUGCAGGGAAAAGCCGUAGAGACACGGUGUCCGUAAGGGUCCUGCACAGGUGGUGCAUGGCUGUCGUCAGCUCGUGUCGUGAGAUGUUGGGUUAAGUCCCGCAACGAGCGCAACCCUCGUCCUCUGUUGCUAACAGGUUAGGCUGAGCACUCUGAGGAAACUGCCGGUGAUAAGCCGGAGGAAGGUGGGGAUGACGUCAAGUCCUCAUGGCCCUUACAUCCUGGGCUACACACGUGUUACAAUGGCGGUGACAAUGGGUCGCGAUCGCGCAAGCGCUAGCUAAUCCCAAAAAGCCGCCUCAGUUCGGAUUGCACUCUGCAACUCGAGUGCAUGAAGCUGGAAUCGCUAGUAAUCGUGGAUCAGCACGCCACGGUGAAUACGUUCCCGGGCCUUGUACACACCGAGUAUA
RNAcentral lists this ribosomal RNA (437 nucleotides) under uncultured bacterium. Its description in RNAcentral is "bacterial SSU rRNA". It matches the Rfam family "Bacterial small subunit ribosomal RNA", at positions 958 to 1398 of the family's 1533-position model. The record is from RNAcentral.